Molecule: ribosomal RNA, 245 nt
Filed under: uncultured Sphingomonas sp.
Lineage: Bacteria; Pseudomonadati; Pseudomonadota; Alphaproteobacteria; Sphingomonadales; Sphingomonadaceae
Description: partial 16S ribosomal RNA
Rfam family: Bacterial small subunit ribosomal RNA
Source: RNAcentral
UACGGAGGGGGCUAGCGUUGUUCGGAAUUACUGGGCGUAAAGCGCACGUAGGCGGCUUUGUAAGUUAGAGGUGAAAGCCUGGAGCUCAACUCCAGAAUUGCCUUUAAGACUGCAUCGCUUGAAUCAUGGAGAGGUGGGUGGAAUUCCGAGUGUAGAGGUGAAAUUCGUAGAUAUUCGGAAGAACACCAGUGGCGAAGGCGGCCCACUGGACAUGUAUUGACGCUGAGGUGCGAAAGCGUGGGGAG